GAGAUUCCCCUAUGGUGCAGGACUUGCUUCAGUGUGGCUUUGGUGCUCACUGAGUCUGCCCCUUGACUGUGUCACU
Molecule: non-coding RNA, 76 nt
Organism: Myotis brandtii (Brandt's bat)
Lineage: Eukaryota; Metazoa; Chordata; Mammalia; Chiroptera; Vespertilionidae
Source: Rfam